CGAGUUNCUGAACCUUCGGGGNNNNUUAACGGCGUCGAGCGGCGGACGGGUGAGUAAUGCCUAGGAAAUUGCCCUGAUGUGGGGGAUAACCAUUGGAAACGAUGGCUAAUACCGCAUGAUGCCUACGGGCCAAAGAGGGGGACCUUCGGGCCUCUCGCGUCAGGAUAUGCCUAGGUGGGAUUAGCUAGUUGGUGAGGUAAGGGCUCACCAAGGCGACGAUCCCUAGCUGGUCUGAGAGGAUGAUCAGCCACACUGGAACUGAGACACGGUCCAGACUCCUACGGGAGGCAGCAGUGGGGAAUAUUGCACAAUGGGCGCAAGCCUGAUGCAGCCAUGCCGCGUGUGUGAAGAAGGCCUUCGGGUUGUAAAGCACUUUCAGUCGUGAGGAAGGUNNNGGNNUUAAUANCNGNNNNAUUUGACGUUAGCGACAGAAGAAGCACCGGCUAACUCCGUGCCAGCAGCCGCGGUAAUACGGAGGGUGCGAGCGUUAAUCGGAAUUACUGGGCGUAAAGCGCAUGCAGGUGGUUUGUUAAGUCAGAUGUGAAAGCCCGGNGCUCANCCUCGGAAUAGCAUUUGAAACUGGCAGACUAGAGUACUGUAGAGGGGGGUAGAAUUUCNNNUGUANCGGUGAAAUGCGUANA
RNAcentral lists this ribosomal RNA (641 nucleotides) under Vibrio sp. SC66. RNAcentral describes it as "partial 16S ribosomal RNA". It matches the Rfam family "Bacterial small subunit ribosomal RNA", at positions 67 to 694 of the family's 1533-position model. Lineage: Bacteria; Pseudomonadati; Pseudomonadota; Gammaproteobacteria; Vibrionales; Vibrionaceae. The record is from RNAcentral.